This 915-nucleotide ribosomal RNA is filed under the name Microbacterium arborescens. RNAcentral describes it as "bacterial SSU rRNA". It matches the Rfam family "Bacterial small subunit ribosomal RNA", at positions 56 to 981 of the family's 1533-position model. Lineage: Bacteria; Bacillati; Actinomycetota; Actinomycetes; Micrococcales; Microbacteriaceae. The record is from RNAcentral.
UGCAAGUCGUAAAGGGGAUAGACACGAGCUUGCUCUGUGGAUCAGUGGCGAACGGGUGAGUAACACGUGAGCAAUCUGCCCCUGACUCUGGGAUAAGCGCUGGAAACGGCGUCUAAUACCGGAUACGAGCUGCGACCGCAUGGUCAGUAGCUGGAAAGAAUUUCGGUCAGGGAUGAGCUCGCGGCCUAUCAGCUUGUUGGUGAGGUAAUGGCUCACCAAGGCGUCGACGGGUAGCCGGCCUGAGAGGGUGACCGGCCACACUGGGACUGAGACACGGCCCAGACUCCUACGGGAGGCAGCAGUGGGGAAUAUUGCACAAUGGGCGCAAGCCUGAUGCAGCAACGCCGCGUGAGGGAUGACGGCCUUCGGGUUGUAAACCUCUUUUAGCAGGGAAGAAGCGAAAGUGACGGUACCUGCAGAAAAAGCGCCGGCUAACUACGUGCCAGCAGCCGCGGUAAUACGUAGGGCGCAAGCGUUAUCCGGAAUUAUUGGGCGUAAAGAGCUCGUAGGCGGUCUGUCGCGUCUGCUGUGAAAACCCGAGGCUCAACCUCGGGCCUGCAGUGGGUACGGGCAGACUAGAGUGCGGUAGGGGAGAUUGGAAUUCCUGGUGUAGCGGUGGAAUGCGCAGAUAUCAGGAGGAACACCGAUGGCGAAGGCAGAUCUCUGGGCCGUAACUGACGCUGAGGAGCGAAAGGGUGGGGAGCAAACAGGCUUAGAUACCCUGGUAGUCCACCCCGUAAACGUUGGGAACUAGUUGUGGGGUCCAUUCCACGGAUUCCGUCACGCAGCUAACGCAUUAAGUUCCCCGCCUGGGGAGUACGGCCGCAAGCUAAAACUCAAGGAAUUGACGGGGACCCGCACAGCGGCGGAGCAUGCGGAUUAAUUCGAUGCAACGCGAAGAACCUUACAAAGGCU